GAUGAACGCUGGCGGCGUGCCUAAUACAUGCAAGUCGAGCGAACGGACGAGAAGCUUGCUUCUCUGAUGUUAGCGGCGGACGGGUGAGUAACACGUGGAUAACCUACCUAUAAGACUGGGAUAACUUCGGGAAACCGGAGCUAAUACCGGAUAAUAUUUUGAACCGCAUGGUUCAAAAGUGAAAGACGGUCUUGCUGUCACUUAUAGAUGGAUCCGCGCUGCAUUAGCUAGUUGGUAAGGUAACGGCUUACCAAGGCAACGAUGCAUAGCCGACCUGAGAGGGUGAUCGGCCACACGGGAACUGAGACACGGUCAAGACUCCUACGGGAGGCAGCAGUAGGGAAUCUUCCGCAAUGGGCGAAAGCCUGACGGAGCAACGCCGCGUGAGUGAUGAAGGUCUUCGGAUCGUAAAACUCUGUUAUUGGGGAAGAACAUAUGUGUAAGUAACUGUGCACAUCUUGACGGUACCUAAUCAGAAAGCCACGGCUAACUACGUG
RNAcentral lists this ribosomal RNA (497 nucleotides) under uncultured bacterium. RNAcentral's name for it is "partial 16S ribosomal RNA". It matches the Rfam family "Bacterial small subunit ribosomal RNA", at positions 28 to 507 of the family's 1533-position model. The record is from RNAcentral.